GUCUAGUACUCAGAGUUUGAUCCUGGCUCAGGAUGAACGCUGGCGGCGUGCCUAAUACAUGCAAGUCGAGCGAACAGACAAGGAGCUUGCUCCUUUGACGUUAGCGGCGGACGGGUGAGUAACACGUGGGUAACCUACCUAUAAGACUGGGAUAACUUCGGGAAACCGGAGCUAAUACCGGAUAAUAUUUCGAACCGCAUGGUUCGAUAGUGAAAGAUGGUUUUGCUAUCACUUAUAGAUGGACCCGCGCCGUAUUAGCUAGUUGGUAAGGUAACGGCUUACCAAGGCAACGAUACGUAGCCGACCUGAGAGGGUGAUCGGCCACACUGGAACUGAGACACGGUCCAG
RNAcentral lists this ribosomal RNA (348 nucleotides) under uncultured bacterium. Its description in RNAcentral is "bacterial SSU rRNA". It matches the Rfam family "Bacterial small subunit ribosomal RNA", at positions 1 to 334 of the family's 1533-position model. The record is from RNAcentral.